CGGUCAAUUUGACUAUGUUAGUGGUCACAGCACCACGUGGUGUAGAGUAUCAGUUUUCACGCGCACUCUUUCGCGUUCCCUUUGUUCUCUAGAUCGUGUAGAUGUAAACAAACCAGGAGGCAUGAAACUGUCAUUUUGUCAAUUAAACCAAUUGUUUAAACAAAUGAAGACAUUGCUAUAUUUGUAUGAACACAGCUGAGAGAUUUUUUACCAGAGAGAAUAUUACACUGACACAUGCAGAGUUGAUACCGACAAAAUAUCUAAAAUAAACACUUCAAAUUCUGACAUACUGAAAAUGUAUAAAAUAUAUAUUGAAGUUGGGAUAUAAUAAUGUAUGUAACAAUGAGUUUAUAAUAAAUAUAUUUUCUUUA
Long non-coding RNA from Mytilus californianus (California mussel), 371 nucleotides. RefSeq lists it as uncharacterized. The record is from RefSeq and is a predicted model, not a curated record. Lineage: Eukaryota; Metazoa; Mollusca; Bivalvia; Mytilida; Mytilidae. The transcript is spliced from 2 exons.